GCGUAACGCGUGGGAAUCUGCCCUUGGGUUCGGAAUAACUUCGGGAAACUGAAGCUAAUACCGGAUGAUGACGAAAGUCCAAAGAUUUAUCGCCCAGGGAUGGGCCCGCGCAGGAUUAGCUAGUUGGUGGGGUAAAGGCCUACCAAGGCGACGAUCCUUAGCUGGUCUGAGAGGAUGAUCAGCCACACUGGGACUGAGACACGGCCCAGACUCCUACGGGAGGCAGCAGUAGGGAAUAUUGGACAAUGGGCGAAAGCCUGAUCCAGCAAUGCCGCGUGAGUGAUGAAGGCCUUAGGGUUGUAA
Molecule: ribosomal RNA, 303 nt
Filed under: uncultured Sphingomonas sp.
Lineage: Bacteria; Pseudomonadati; Pseudomonadota; Alphaproteobacteria; Sphingomonadales; Sphingomonadaceae
Description: bacterial SSU rRNA
Rfam family: Bacterial small subunit ribosomal RNA
Source: RNAcentral